Molecule: RNA transcript, 5167 nt
Organism: Oreochromis niloticus (Nile tilapia)
Lineage: Eukaryota; Metazoa; Chordata; Actinopteri; Cichliformes; Cichlidae
Exons: 4
Source: RefSeq, a predicted model, not a curated record
GUGAGAGGUCACAGCAUCGCGCUCUCCUAUUGGUCAUGUAGGAAGCAGGAAGCAGCAAAAGCGCGGCUUCCUCUGUUGGCUUAACAACAAACUGGCUAAAAAAUGGGAAAUCUCACACGACUGAAAAAACUAAUUAACGAGGAGAUUUCGAAAAGAGGCCCACUGAAGCUUAUAAAAUAUCUUCAGAGGAAAAAGCUACUUAAAAGAAAAAUAAAAUGCAAAGUCUGCCAGCAGAAAAUGGAACUGAAGAAAAGGGUGAACAACGGAGACCAAUAUGCUUGGUAAGAUAUCUAUAUUAAUUUUCAUAUUAUGUUUUUAGACUCAACCUCAUACGAAGUGACACACUUACUGUAAAAUUUAUUAGUAUUAUUUGUUUUCACACCAAAAUUCUCCUUAAAACGGAGCUAACAGUGGUUUCAUUUAAAGCGCGUGGUCUGGCAAAUUAAAGCAAGUGAAGUCAGUUAGAUUAUCACCUUAAAGACUUGUCAUUAACAUUACAACUACACAGAGUCCCUUUUAUCACAUUUUUCUUAUUUGAUAAAAAGACAAUGGUAAAUUGAAGGCUACAAUUAAACAAAACAAAGAAUGACAAAAUUUGUCUGCAAGUGCACAUUAAGUUUAGUUUAAACAAAUACUUAUUGCAUAUAAUUAAACAUACAUAUUUCAUGUUACUAUUUUGAAAAUAGGAUCUGUCGUGCACUCAAAAAAAUGAACUCAGCCUAUCUCUGCUUUUACUAAAGUAGAUUUUGUUGUUUGUUCUUAAUAAACUCGAUUUUGCAAAAAUUCUUAAAGUGUUUGUGCAAAUUUAAUGAAAUGUUGUUACUUUUUGUUGUUACACAAAGUCAUUGAACUGUGUCAACGUAACAUUGUUGAGUAAAUUCACAGGUUUGUCCCUCUGCACAUACUGCUGCGUGCAGAGCCCGCCUAAAUAAGGGCCAAUGCGCAUGCGCACCACCCUCUUUCUCAAGCUUGCUUUUUCUUCGCCAUGUGGACUGGUUCAGCCGCAUUUUUGUCCAAAAAUCAGAUACGUUGAUGUGGCAGUGCAAAUUGUGCAAAAAAGUGGUGUCAUCACGAGCUCUGUUAUUAAAACACUACAGGUUAGUUCAUAGUAGACAGCAGUAUCCAUGUGCCUAUUCUGAUUGUGUCUGUGUUUUCAAAACAUGGAAUGCUCUACAUAGCCACUUAAGCAGAUCACAUACCCAAAGAACUCUAGACAAGUCUGUGAGUUUGGCAACAUUUAACUGCCAUUUGUGUUCCUGCUGCAACAUAGCUUCAGAGCAGGAGUAUUUUUCUCACAUUAACAACCAUCUAAAAUGUAACGAGACUGUGCAUUGCAUGUUUGAGGGUUGUUCUUUCAAAACAAAUAUCUAUGGUACAUUCAAAUCUCAUCGAAAUAGGAAACACAAUCCUUAUACCUUAAAAGACUUUAAAAUCGGUAUUGCUAACACUAUUGUAGGCCAAACAUCAGCUGAUGACAGUACAGACACUAUUGUAGAAGAGGACAUAAGUGCAAAUAUUGAUCACGAUACAACUACAAGUGAGACUGAAGAUUUGGCAAAUGUAAUAGAACUUAAUUUUGCAUUUCUUUUACUUAAGUUGGAAAACUAUUUUCAUGUUCCCAGCAUAGCAAUUGACAAGUUGCUUUCAGAAUUGCACUACCUGAUAAGCUGUGCAUCAGUGCCUUUGACAAAUCAAGUAAUUGUAGACAUACUCAAGAAUCAUAACCUUUGUCUAGACCAGCCUGUUAUUGAAGAACUGACAAAGGCAGUUUCUUUUAACCCUUUGUUAAAAGCCAUAGAAAAGGACGGCACACUUGCCACUGCCUUCAAACGCAGACAGUAUUACAGAAAACAUUUUGAAGUAAUUGAUCCAAUUGAAUACAUUCUCGACUCCCAAAGCAAGAGGACCUUUCAGUAUAUUCCUAUUCUAAAAUCAUUACAGCAGAUAUUUAAACAAGAAAACAUACUGAACAAAUUUGUCACUAGCCACAAUCAGAAUCCUUUUGUAAAUAAGGAAAAGUAUACAUCAUAUAAAGAUGGUCUACAUUUUCAAAAUAAUGAGUUUUUCUCAGGCGGUGAACUAAGAAUCUCUAUUUGUCUUUAUGUUGAUGAUUUCGAAAUUUGCAAUCCAUUGGGGACAUCACGGAAAAAGCAUAAACUUUGCUCAGUUUACUGGAUUUUAGGUAACUUGCCACCAGGUAGUCAUUCAUCCCUCUCUUCUAUUUAUUUGGCUCUCUUGUGCAAAAGUGAGGACCUUAGGACCUUUGGCUAUCCAAAAAUAUUUGAGCCACUUUUGCAAGACCUUGUCAUUUUAGAGCAGCAGGGAGUGUUCAUUGACAAUUUAGGGGUCAACUUUAAAGGCACUGUCCAAUAUGUAGUGGCAGACAGCCUCGGAGCUCAUGGAUUGGCCGGUUUUGUGGAAAGUUUUUCUGGAGAUUACUUUUGCAGGUUUUGUACUGCUACACGCUCAGAGAUUGAAUCAAAAGCUACAAAUAGUGACUUUUCUCUGAGAACUGAGGAGCUCCAUCGUGUACACAUAGCAACUGCACGUGAGACAGGGGUAGCUUGUUGUGGUGUGAAAAGCUCGUGUGUCUUGGCAGACAGUCUGUCUUUCUUCAAGGUCACUGCAGGAUUCCCCCCUGAUCUUGCACAUGACCUUUUUGAAGGUAUUGUGCCUUUUGAGAUAGCUGAGUGCCUUCGAAUACUAAUAGGCAAGAAGUACAUCACUUUUGAAAAUCUAAAUAGACUUGUUCAGUCAUUUCCCUACAAAGGAGGGGAUCAGACUAAUCGCCCUCAGAAAUUGCCUCACAAUUUUCUUAGUAAAAAAACUGUUGGUGGCAAUGCACAUGAAAAUUGGUGUUUACUAAGACUUCUGCCACUUAUUAUUGGACAACACAUACCUGAAAACGAACCAGCUUGGGAACUUCUACUAGAUUUGAAGGAUAUUGUUGAGCUUGUUGUGUGUCCUGUUCAUAACAGUGACUCAGUUGCAUACCUGGAGAGUAAGAUUUUAGACCACCAUCAAAGGUACAAAGAAGUAUGCCCAGAUAGAAGACCAUUGCCAAAACAUCACUUUCUGGCUCAUUAUCCCUCAAUAAUUCGCCAUUCUGGUCCACUUGCCUUAUUAUGGACAAUCAGAUUCGAGGCAAAGCACACAUUUUUUUAAAAAGUUGCUAGACACACAAACUGCUUCAAAAACAUAACCCUGUCUUUGUCAACCAAACACCAGCUCAUGAUUGGCCAUUACAUGCAUUCAUCAGGCUGUAGCAAAGCCACUUUUGAGGUUUCACGAGUCUCGGCAGUCCCAGUAGAACUUCUCAAACGUGAAAUUGCACAUUGUCUUGCUGAAAAGUACCCUGACACAGCUGUAGUUAGCCUUGCCCAGAGUGUGUCUGUUGCGGGCAUCUACUACAGGAAGGGCAUGUUAAUAGUACAUGGAUCACUGGGGGGUCUGCCAGAGUUUGCUGAAAUCCUGCAGAUGUGUAUUUUGGCAGAUUCGUUGGUGUUUAUAGUAAAAAAACUGAGCUCGUGGUACACUGAACACUAUAGAUCCUUCAAAAUUGACCCAUCUCCAAAGGAAAUUUCUCUUGUUGCACAUGAGGAUCUGGUGGAUUGUUAUCCACUUUGUGACUACCAAGUCGGAGCUUCUCGCAUGGUUACAUUAAAGAGAUACAUACACUGUUCAGGUAAUUUUAAUGUCCAUGUUGCCGAUUUAAUUUUUGUGCUGUAUAGCAGUUCUUCUCAAAGUUUGGUUCUUAAAAAUAGUUGGACCAGAACUUAAAUCUACUCGGAUAUGUUUCAAGCCUUGUAAAAAUACUAGAAAAAAAAUUGUGCUGCAAAAUUCUGAAUACCACUAAAAAAAUACCUGCUUCACCAUUGUAACAUGUACUGAAGUUUGGGAACCACCUGCUCAUGUUCUUGCACUUAUUUUUUAGAGUAACAGUUGGAGAUUGGGACAUCAGAAAUGACAGCCCCAACAAAGCUUCUGAUAAUCCUGGGGGAGAACAACGCACUCAAGUUAACCCUUCCUUUGGGGAUACCAAAGAAUGUUAACGAGCUCAAAGCGGAGAUUGAAAAUCAGUGCGGAGUUUCUGAACAGUUCAGAUUGCAGUACAUGGACACAGAUUUUAAUCAGUUCCUUAACCUGACAUCCACAUUUGAUCUAAAAGACAUGGACAAAAUAAAAGUGAUUAAAACAGGUGUACCAGAAACAUCCACUGGUAGUAAUGAAAGCAGUGUGUCCUCAUUUAACUUGGGUAGCCCCUGCUCUGGCCACAACCCUGAUUAUGACACAGAUAUACUGUCAUCGCCAGAAUCCAGGUCAUCAAGCUCCUCGAGCUCAGCAAACUCCACGCUGCGAUCAGAAGCCUGGCCACUGGACUUUCGCAUACCUGAGUUUAGCUUCGAUGUAGAGCUGCAAUUGACAAAAGGCAAACAGGAAUUCCAAGCCAAUGGAACACUUUUAGCCCUAAAACCAAAGCUCAAGUCUGACAUUUUAGAGAGCUUGUCUUCAGAAAUUAUGAAGUACAAAGCUUACCCUUCAGACAGCAAUCUUAGUGAUGUUUGCCAAGCUUUGGUUGUAAAGCAUCCAUGCUUGAAAGAGAAGGGUUCAGAAACUGGAUUUUCUGCAUGGAAGAUCAGUUUGAAGUAUAAAAUGUCAAACUAUCGUGGAAAACUGAAGAACUUAGGGUGUAGUGAGUUGGUCAUCAAUUCUCUCAAAAGAAGAGGGAACAGUAAUGUGCAUCCCAACCAAGUCAAGAAACCCAGGAGAGCGGAGGUGAAUUUCUGCCCUGAUUAUCCAGCUGGAGAAACCCGAGAGAGUCAGGAAGAAGAAAGGUUGGUGCUGCUUUCAGAGUUCAAGAAGAAGAACAACGAUGAAACCAUCAAAGCAAAAAUGGCCCAAACCUUUCCUCACCGGAGGCAAGAAAUUCUUCAGGACAUGCCCUUCGUAGCUGACUUUAAAAGCCGAUGGCCAGCUCUUUUUUCUCCACGUGAGAUAAAUGCUGAAUUCCAGCGCAUCACUACGGUCCCGCUAACAUCCACAUUUAUGGCACAGCUGGACAACAACACAACCAAACUGACCAAAGUCUUCAGAAACAAGGGAGGAACAUCUGGACGCAAGAUCACAGAAAUCAUGGCUGCAAUUGAUGAGAACGACACAGUUGCAA